GGAAGAGAUAAGUGCUGAAAGCAUCUAAGCACGAAACUUGCCCCGAGAUGAGUUCUCCCUGACCCUUUAAGGGUCCUGAAGGAACGUUGAAGACGACGACGUUGAUAGGCCGGGUGUGUAAGCGCAGCGAUGCGUUGAGCUAACCGGUACUAAUGAACCGUGAGGCUUAACCUUACAACGCCGAAGCUGUU
RNAcentral lists this ribosomal RNA (191 nucleotides) under Escherichia coli. RNAcentral describes it as "partial 23S ribosomal RNA". It matches the Rfam family "Bacterial large subunit ribosomal RNA", at positions 2757 to 2925 of the family's 2925-position model. Lineage: Bacteria; Pseudomonadati; Pseudomonadota; Gammaproteobacteria; Enterobacterales; Enterobacteriaceae. The record is from RNAcentral.